GGAGAGAUGGCAGAGCUCGGUUGAAUGCAGCUGACUUGAAAUCAGCCGACGGGUUAAACCGUCCGGGGGUUCGAAUCCCUCUCUCUCCGCCA
This 92-nucleotide transfer RNA is filed under the name Bowmanella dokdonensis. RNAcentral's name for it is "tRNA-Ser". It matches the Rfam family "tRNA". Rfam says of the family: Transfer RNA (tRNA) molecules are approximately 80 nucleotides in length. Their secondary structure includes four short double-helical elements and three loops (D, anti-codon, and T loops). Further hydrogen bonds mediate the characteristic L-shaped molecular structure. tRNAs have two regions of fundamental functional importance: the anti-codon, which is responsible for specific mRNA codon recognition, and the 3' end, to which the tRNAs corresponding amino acid is attached (by aminoacyl-tRNA synthetases). tRNAs cope with the degeneracy of the genetic code in two manners: having more than one tRNA (with a specific anti-codon) for a particular amino acid; and 'wobble' base-pairing, i.e. permitting non-standard base-pairing at the 3rd anti-codon position. The record is from RNAcentral. Lineage: Bacteria; Pseudomonadati; Pseudomonadota; Gammaproteobacteria; Alteromonadales; Alteromonadaceae.